CCUACGGGAGGCUGCAGUGGGGAAUAUUGCACAAUGGGGGAAACCCUGAUGCAGCGACGCCGCGUGAAGGAAGAAGUAUUUCGGUAUGUAAACUUCUAUCAGCAGGGAAGAAAAUGACGGUACCUGACUAAGAAGCCCCGGCUAACUACGUGACAGCAGCCGCGGUAAUACGUAGGGGGCAAGCGUUAUCCGGAUUUACUGGGUGUAAAGGGAGCGUAGGCGGUUUAGCAAGUCAGAAGUGAAAGCCCGGGGCUCAACUCCGGGACUGCUUUUGAAACUGUUGAACUAGAGUGCAGGAGAGGUAAGUGUAAUUCCUAGUGUAGCGGUGAAAUGCGUAGAUAUUAGGAGGAACACCAGUGGCGAAGGCGGCUUACUGGACUGUAAAUGACGCUGAGGCUCGAAAGCGUGGGGAGCAAACAGGAUUAGAUACCCUUGUAGUC
Molecule: ribosomal RNA, 440 nt
Filed under: uncultured bacterium
Lineage: Bacteria
Description: partial 16S ribosomal RNA
Rfam family: Bacterial small subunit ribosomal RNA
Source: RNAcentral